RNAcentral lists this ribosomal RNA (496 nucleotides) under uncultured bacterium. RNAcentral's name for it is "partial 16S ribosomal RNA". It matches the Rfam family "Bacterial small subunit ribosomal RNA", at positions 29 to 507 of the family's 1533-position model. The record is from RNAcentral.
AUGAACGCUGGCGGCGUGCCUCAUCCCUGCCAGUCGAGCGAACAGAUGAGGAGCUUGCUCCUCUGACGUUAGCGGCGGACGGGUGAGUAACACGUGGAUAACCUACCUAUAAGACUGGGAUAACUUCGGGAAACCGGAGCUAAUACCGGAUAAUAUAUUGAACCGCAUGGUUCAAUAGUGAAAGACGGUUUUGCUGUCACUUAUAGAUGGAUCCGCGCCGCAUUAGCUAGUUGGUAAGGUAACGGCUUACCAAGGCAACGAUGCGUAGCCGACCUGAGAGGGUGAUCGGCCACACUGGAACUGAGACACGGUCCAGACUCCUACGGGAGGCAGCAGUAGGGAAUCUUCCGCAAUGGGCGAAAGCCUGACGGAGCAACGCCGCGUGAGUGAUGAAGGUCUUCGGAUCGUAAAACUCUGUUAUUGGGGAAGAACAAAUGUGUAAGUAACUAUGCACGUCUUGACGGUACCUAAUCAGAAAGCCACGGCUAACUACGUG